Long non-coding RNA from Triticum urartu, 982 nucleotides. RefSeq lists it as uncharacterized. The record is from RefSeq and is a predicted model, not a curated record. NCBI's taxonomy places the organism in Eukaryota, Viridiplantae, Streptophyta, Magnoliopsida, Poales, Poaceae.
AGCAGAAAAAGGCAAAGAUAAUAAAAAAACCCUUCGAUCCCAAAUCCCCAAUCCCCAAUCUCUCAGGCUCUCAGCCCUCGACCUAAUCCACUGCCGCCCCCGACCUGCGCCGCUGCCCCGACCCACUGCGCCGCCGGCCAUACCCACUGCGCUGCCGCCCCGCCUACGCGCCGCCACCCGUCCGCUGGCCCUCCGUCGCGCCACAACUCUCUAGCCCGUUGCGCACCACCCUUCCAGGAGCUGCAGCUCCGUCCGCUGCGCGAGGAGCAGCAACACCGUCGACCACCACCGGCAAGGAGAAGCAGCAGCAGCGCGUCCACCUUGCCGAGGAGCAGCAGCGUGUUCACCUCGCCGAGAGCAGCAACCUGUCCACCUCGUCGAGGAGUAGCAACUCGUCAAGGAUCCACCUCCACGGUUGACCUCCAUUCCUGCUACUUUCCUCUGCCCCGUCUACUGAAUUCAAGAGCAACAUUGAUAUUCUGAAUCUCUACAGCAACAUCGAUAUUCCGAAUCUGUACAUUUCACUUGUAGUCUCUGAAUUAGUUGUGAAGGUGCAGUCACCAUGGACAAAAGGUGGAUGGAUGAGCCUAGGGACAAAUGGCAGAAAGUAGCAAGUAGUGAAGUUGAUCUAGGAUGUUCCACUGAUCGCUUUUGACCAUAACAUGGAACAUUGUCGACGCAUUUUGAGCAUAUGGAAGUUGAUGUCGGCUUGAUCGAAGACUGGGUAUCUUCCAUAAUAUUUUGUAGUAGUCAAGUGAUAAAAUGAUCGGUCUUUUGAGAACUUGCUCAUAUUUUGUAAUAGGACAUGACCAGAAUGUCGACUCUGACAUAUGCCACUUGGCUAUUUUCUUAGUGGAUGUAGCUACUUGAGUGAAGAAACCCAGUGAAUCUUCUAUGAAUGUUGAAUGGAUGAUGUGCCUGUUAUCUUGUUAUGAAUGGAACAGUGUAAGUGGAAUCAUCUAUAUAUCUUAGAAUGAAUGCA